Molecule: small nucleolar RNA, 95 nt
Filed under: Marmota monax (woodchuck)
Lineage: Eukaryota; Metazoa; Chordata; Mammalia; Rodentia; Sciuridae
Rfam family: Small nucleolar RNA U13
Source: RNAcentral
UCGUUCAUAAGCGUGAUGAUUGGGUGUUCACACUAUUGUGUGAGAUGUGCCACCUUCUAAACCUUGUUACGACAUUGGCACAGUACCCGUCUGAC